UAAAUAGCCGCAUUUGUGCUAAGGUAGCANAAUCAUUUGUCUUUUAAUUAAAGACUAGAAUAAAAGAUUUAACUUUUAAAUUUAUUUUUUAAAUUUAUUAAUUGAAAUUAUUUUAAAUAUAAAAAAAUAUUUAUGAAAAAGAAAGACGAUNNNACCCUAUNGAACUUUACUUUAGUUAAACUGGGGCAGUUAAUUAAUUAUUAUUUUAAUUUGAAUUCAUUAAACAAAUAGACCUAAUACAAUUAAUUUUAUGAUCAAGUUACCAUAGGGAUAACAGCGUAAUUUAAUUUUUAAGAUCUUAUUUAAAAUUAAGAUUGCGACCUCGAUGUUGAUUUAAUUUUCCUAAUUUUUCACGCAGUAGUAAAUAAAGGAAGUCUGUUCGACUUUUAAAUAAUUACAUGAUUUGAGUUCAGACCGGCGUUAACCAGGUUG
RNAcentral lists this ribosomal RNA (432 nucleotides) under Tibellus sp. SPB-2007. RNAcentral describes it as "partial 16S ribosomal RNA". The stretch from base 145 to 432 matches the Rfam family "Bacterial large subunit ribosomal RNA", at positions 2079 to 2633 of the family's 2925-position model. The record is from RNAcentral. Lineage: Eukaryota; Metazoa; Arthropoda; Arachnida; Araneae; Philodromidae.